This 255-nucleotide ribosomal RNA is filed under the name uncultured bacterium. RNAcentral's name for it is "partial 16S ribosomal RNA". It matches the Rfam family "Bacterial small subunit ribosomal RNA", at positions 524 to 776 of the family's 1533-position model. The record is from RNAcentral.
UACGUAGGGGGCAAGCGUUUGUCCGGAUUUAUUGGGCGUAAAGAGCGUGUAGGCGGCUAGAUAGGUCCGUUGUGAAAACUCGAGGCUCAACCUCGAGACGUCGAUGGAAACCAUCUGGCUAGAGUCCGGAAGAGGAGAGUGGAAUUCCUGGUGUAGCGGUGAAAAUGCGCAGAUAUCAGGAAGAACACCCGUGGCGAAGGCGGCUCUCUGGUACGUGACUGACGCUGAGACGCGAAAGCGUGGGGAGCGAACAGG